RNAcentral lists this ribosomal RNA (621 nucleotides) under Streptomyces mycarofaciens. Its description in RNAcentral is "bacterial SSU rRNA". It matches the Rfam family "Bacterial small subunit ribosomal RNA", at positions 243 to 874 of the family's 1533-position model. The record is from RNAcentral. Lineage: Bacteria; Bacillati; Actinomycetota; Actinomycetes; Kitasatosporales; Streptomycetaceae.
AGCUUGUUGGUGAGGUAAUGGCUCACCAAGGCGACGACGGGUAGCCGGCCUGAGAGGGCGACCGGCCACACUGGGACUGAGACACGGCCCAGACUCCUACGGGAGGCAGCAGUGGGGAAUAUUGCACAAUGGGCGAAAGCCUGAUGCAGCGACGCCGCGUGAGGGAUGACGGCCUUCGGGUUGUAAACCUCUUUCAGCAGGGAAGAAGCGAGAGUGACGGUACCUGCAGAAGAAGCGCCGGCUAACUACGUGCCAGCAGCCGCGGUAAUACGUAGGGCGCGAGCGUUGUCCGGAAUUAUUGGGCGUAAAGAGCUCGUAGGCGGCUUGUCGCGUCGGAUGUGAAAGCCCGGGGCUUAACUCCGGGUCUGCAUUCGAUACGGGCAGGCUAGAGUUCGGUAGGGGAGAUCGGAAUUCCUGGUGUAGCGGUGAAAUGCGCAGAUAUCAGGAGGAACACCGGUGGCGAAGGCGGAUCUCUGGGCCGAUACUGACGCUGAGGAGCGAAAGCGUGGGGAGCGAACAGGAUUAGAUACCCUGGUAGUCCACGCCGUAAACGUUGGGAACUAGGUGUGGGCGACAUUCCACGUCGUCCGUGCCGCAGCUAACGCAUUAAGUUCCCCGCCU